Molecule: non-coding RNA, 382 nt
Organism: Plectropomus leopardus (leopard coralgrouper)
Lineage: Eukaryota; Metazoa; Chordata; Actinopteri; Perciformes; Serranidae
Source: RefSeq, a predicted model, not a curated record
CCAGGAUCAUCAUCGUGCUGAAGAACAGGAUUUAUGUUUACAGUUUUCCAGAUAAUCCGGUCAAACUGUUCGAGUUUGACACCAGAGACAACCCCAAAGGCCUGUGUGAUUUAUGUCCCAGUCUGGAGAAGCAGCUGCUGGUGUUUCCGGGUCAUAAAUGCGGCAGCCUGCAGCUGGUCGACUUGUCCAACACCAAGCCGGGGACGUCGUCCGCCCCGUUCACCAUCAACGCCCACCAGAGCGAGAUCGCCUGCGUGGCGCUCAACCAGCCCGGCAGCGUGGCGGCGUCCGCUUCUCGUAAAGGAACGCUCAUCCGCCUGUUCGAUACCACGACCAGAGACAAACUGGUGGAGCUGCGCCGAGGCACCGACCCCGCCACCCU